UACGUAGGGUCCAAGCGUUAUCCGGAAUCACUGGGCGUAAAGCGUGCGUAGGCGGGUGUUUAAGUGCGAUGCGAAAUCCUGUGGCUCAACCAUAUGGACUGUAUCGCAUACUGGAUACCUGGAGGAAUGCAGAGGCAAGUGGAAUUACUGGUGUAGCAGUGAAAUGCGUAGAUAUCAGUAGGAACACCAAUGGCGAAGGCAGCUUGCUGGGCAUUUUCUGA
This 221-nucleotide ribosomal RNA is filed under the name uncultured prokaryote. RNAcentral describes it as "partial 16S ribosomal RNA". It matches the Rfam family "Bacterial small subunit ribosomal RNA", at positions 524 to 743 of the family's 1533-position model. The record is from RNAcentral.